UACCAGCUCUCCGAGUGGUGUGGAUGUUUAUUGGGCCUAAAGCAUCCGUAGCUGGCUGGGCAAGUCCCCUGUUAAAUCCACCGAUUUAAUCGUUGGUGUGCGGGGGAUACUGUUCGGCUAGGGGACGGGAGAGGCCGACGGUAUUUUCGGGGUAGGGGUGAAAUCCUAUAAUCCCGGGAAGACCACCAGUGGCGAAGGCUGUCGGCUAGAACGCGCCCGACGGUGAGGGAUGAAAGCUGGGGGAGCGAACCGGAUUAGAUACCCGGGUAGUCCCAGCUGUAAACGAUGCAGGCUAGGUGUUUGGGUGGCCACGUGCCGCUCUAGUGCCGCAGAAAAAGUCGUUAAGCCUGCCGCCUGGGGAGUACGGCCGCAAGGCUGAAACUUAAAGGAAUUGGCGGGGGAGCACCACAAGGGGUGAAGCUUGCGGUUUA
RNAcentral lists this ribosomal RNA (431 nucleotides) under uncultured archaeon. RNAcentral describes it as "bacterial SSU rRNA". It matches the Rfam family "Archaeal small subunit ribosomal RNA", at positions 474 to 904 of the family's 1478-position model. The record is from RNAcentral.